ACAUAAUGAGGGGAAAUUUGAGACCAACGGGAAACUCAACAGAUGGAACUGGAAGUGAAUGUCUAUUUUCUUCUUUAUCUCUACUCUUAAAUGGAAGUGAAAAUCUGCAGGAUGACUGUAUGCAAUUCAAUUUCCAGAUAUUGGGUGUGGCUGAAUACUGCUAGGAACAUUCAACACUAGGUGCAGUGUGUACAUGCAUAAACUUGGAUGAAACAACCUGUAUGUUAGUGACCACACAUCAUUCCAGUGUCAUAAACUUUAUGCUUAAAAGGUCAUGUUCUAACUACUUUCCUUUUAAUGCUUCUCCGUGUAGGAAACUCUACGAUCCCACUGGCUACUACAGAGGUCGUGCACAAGAUGCAUGUUGCCUCUUAAGUCAUAUCGAUGCGACUUAUUAAAUUUGACUUAUGUUAGUGUUGUUCCGAGGCAUUUCAAGUCAGGUGGAGUACUAAUGUUUUAGAAAAUCGUUGUGCUAUCUUUUGUAUAUACACCUGAGUUUUUACAUGCAUUAUGUGCGGUAAGCACCAUAUAUGAUUGUGUGGAAUAUUCUUACUAGAACUCCAGUAGAAGACAAAUUAUCUAUCUUGAGUUAUUAUCUACUUUUAUUAUCAUAUUAUGUUUGAUUUUUUAAUGUUAAUUAAUGUGCACAGGAUUGCACGUUCUUUUGCCAUUUAGUUUUAUAAAAUAUAUUUCUUUUUAUGUACUUUUCCCCUUUCUGAUGACAAUUAUAUUGCUCAAACUUAAUUUAGCAUGGCCAGUACUCUUCUUUAUUGUUGUAUUAAAAUAUCAACUUUGCAAAUAUCGACUCUCUUAAAAUAAUGAUCAUGUGUUUCUGUUGUGGUGAGAUUGCCAGGUUCUAUAAGAUAAAGCAACAAAAGGGCUACAUGAAGCCAGAAGCUCUAAUUCCUGGAGGAAAGAACCUAAACAAUGGUCACUAUACUUAUAGCGCACAGCCAGAGUAGUGUGUGUAUGAUGAUAUUGAAUAACCUGUGAUUCCCUUGUUUUUCGUUGAAUGUCUGGAUAAAAAGUUGAUUAUAGUAACUCAUUUUUGCUUACCAUAUGGUUUUAUUACAGCAGAAAAUUGUUUAGGUGAUUAGUCGGAACUCUUAAACUUUAUUUGGUAGGUGCUAUCUGUUAUUGAACCGCUCUAAUUUGCAAUUCUCUGGCCC
Molecule: long non-coding RNA, 1169 nt
Filed under: Brachypodium distachyon (stiff brome)
Lineage: Eukaryota; Viridiplantae; Streptophyta; Magnoliopsida; Poales; Poaceae
Description: long non-coding RNA (BDIS_LNC003099)
Source: RNAcentral